AUUGAACGCUGGCGGCAGGCCUAACACAUGCAAGUCGAGCGGAUGAAGGGAGCUUGCUCCUGGAUUCAGCGGCGGACGGGUGAGUAAUGCCUAGGAAUCUGCCUGGUAGUGGGGGAUAACGUCCGGAAACGGGCGCUAAUACCGCAUACGUCCUGAGGGAGAAAGUGGGGGAUCUUCGGACCUCACGCUAUCAGAUGAGCCUAGGUCGGAUUAGCUAGUUGGUGGGGUAAAGGCCUACCAAGGCGACGAUCCGUAACUGGUCUGAGAGGAUGAUCAGUCACACUGGAACUGAGACACGGUCCAGACUCCUACGGGAGGCAGCAGUGGGGAAUAUUGGACAAAGGGCGAAAGCCUGAUCCAGCCAUGCCGCGUGUGUGAAGAAGGUCUUCGGAUUGUAAAGCACUUUAAGGUGGGAGGAAGGGCAGUAAGUUAAUACCUUGCUGUUUUGACGUUACCAACAGAAUAAGCACCGGCUAACUUCGUG
Molecule: ribosomal RNA, 484 nt
Filed under: uncultured bacterium
Lineage: Bacteria
Description: partial 16S ribosomal RNA
Rfam family: Bacterial small subunit ribosomal RNA
Source: RNAcentral